Molecule: ribosomal RNA, 253 nt
Filed under: uncultured bacterium
Lineage: Bacteria
Description: partial 16S ribosomal RNA
Rfam family: Bacterial small subunit ribosomal RNA
Source: RNAcentral
CACGGAGGGUGCAAGCGUUAAUCGGAAUUACUGGGCGUAAAGCGCACGUAGGCGGCAUGCUAAGUCUCAUGUGAAAACCCUGGGCUCAACCUAGGGACUGCAAAAGAAACUGGCAAGCUAGAGUAUCAGAGAGGAUAGCGGAAUUCCAGGUGUAGGAGUGAAAUCCGUAGAUAUCUGGAGGAACACCAGAGGCGAAGGCGGCUAUCUGGCUGAAUACUGACGCUGAGGAGCGAAAGCGUGGGGAGCAAACAGG